AAAGUAAGCUGGCUUGUCGCUUUGGUGCUUAAUAGGAAGAGAAUGAUCGAAUAGCAUGUUGCGUGCAGCAUGUUUUCCUUAUUAAGGAAGCGGUCAGCUAUCCGUUUGGGUUAGCCGAAGAGGAAAGUCCGGGCAAUAGAGAGCGCCCUACUUCCUAACGGGAAGGCAUGGGGUAAUUGUAGCCCUGUGACAGCAAGUGCCACAGAAAAUAAACCGCUUGUUACAUUAGCUAAUGAUGUAGCAAGUAAGGGUGAAAAGGUGCGGUAAGAGCGCACCGCUCUAUUGGUGACAGUAGAGGCAUGGGUAAACCUUAGGAAUUGCAAGGCCAAGUAGGCAUGCCCCUACUUGCGUACGUAAGUAGGACGGGCUGCUCGUCCGUUUUUCUUUUAUUAGAAAGGGUAUGUGGGUAGGCUGCUAGAGGGUCUAAGUGAUUAGGCCCCCAGAUAAAUGACAAGCAAGUGUAUCUGUUUUGCACUACAGAACCCGGCUUAUAGGCUUACUUUUCUU
Molecule: RNase P RNA, 507 nt
Filed under: Candidatus Cardinium sp.
Lineage: Bacteria; Pseudomonadati; Bacteroidota; Cytophagia; Cytophagales; Amoebophilaceae
Description: RNase P RNA component class A
Rfam family: Bacterial RNase P class A
About the family: Ribonuclease P (RNase P) is a ubiquitous endoribonuclease, found in archaea, bacteria and eukarya as well as chloroplasts and mitochondria.
Source: RNAcentral